RNAcentral lists this ribosomal RNA (334 nucleotides) under uncultured Anaerolineaceae bacterium. Its description in RNAcentral is "bacterial SSU rRNA". It matches the Rfam family "Bacterial small subunit ribosomal RNA", at positions 1033 to 1382 of the family's 1533-position model. The record is from RNAcentral. Lineage: Bacteria; Bacillati; Chloroflexota; Anaerolineae; Anaerolineales; Anaerolineaceae.
CACAGGUGCUGCAUGGCUGUCGUCAGCUCGUGUCGUGAGAUGUCGGUUAAGUCCGCUAACGAGCGCAACCCUCACUGUGUGUUAUAUGUGUCACACGGGACUGCCGGUUUUAAGCCGGAGGAAGGUGGGGAUGACGUCAAGUCAGCAUGGCCUUUAUAUCCUGGGCUACACACACGCUACAAUGGUCGGUACAAUAGGUUGCCAAGCCGCGAGGCGGAGCCAAUCCACAAAGCCGGCCUCAGUUCAGAUUGUAGGCUGCAACUCGCCUGCAUGAAGAUGGAGUUGCUAGUAACCGCAGGUCAGCAAUACUGCGGUGAAUACGUUCCCGGGUCUU